RNAcentral lists this transfer RNA (75 nucleotides) under Acholeplasmataceae bacterium. Its description in RNAcentral is "tRNA-Thr". It matches the Rfam family "tRNA". From Rfam's summary of the family: Transfer RNA (tRNA) molecules are approximately 80 nucleotides in length. Their secondary structure includes four short double-helical elements and three loops (D, anti-codon, and T loops). Lineage: Bacteria; Bacillati; Mycoplasmatota; Mollicutes; Acholeplasmatales; Acholeplasmataceae. The record is from RNAcentral. RNAcentral also lists the same sequence under 1 other name.
GCCACUAUAGCUCAAUGGUAGAGCAGUUGUCUUGUAAACAACAGGUUUUCGGUUCAAAUCCGAAUGGUGGCUCCA